UAGCUGUAUUUUUCAUUUCUUUACUACAAUUAUAUAACCAACACACUUAUUUUCAGAUUAUUCUUUAUUCAUAAACCAAAUAUUAAGAUUAGUUACACAACAUACGUUUGGCAAAAUGAGUUGCAACCCUUCUAUCUUGUUGAUUUGCUUUCACAAGAGACACACCACACAAAUCUACAAAACAUUGUUAAAGCAAAUGAACUUAAAAUUAGAAAAAUAUAAACAUUGCGAGCGAGACUGUGAGG
Molecule: long non-coding RNA, 245 nt
Filed under: Trifolium pratense (red clover)
Lineage: Eukaryota; Viridiplantae; Streptophyta; Magnoliopsida; Fabales; Fabaceae
Description: long non-coding RNA (TPRA_LNC011942)
Source: RNAcentral